RNAcentral lists this ribosomal RNA (800 nucleotides) under uncultured delta proteobacterium. RNAcentral describes it as "bacterial SSU rRNA". It matches the Rfam family "Bacterial small subunit ribosomal RNA", at positions 126 to 942 of the family's 1533-position model. Lineage: Bacteria; Deltaproteobacteria. The record is from RNAcentral.
CUGCCCUUCAGUCCGGGACAACUUUCCGAAAGGGGAGCUAAUACCGGAUAACAAUGUUUGACAUAAGUUGAAUAUUUGAAAGCUCCGGUGCUGAUGGAUGAGUCUGCGUCCCAUUAGCUUGUUGGUGCGGUAGUGGCGCACCAAGGCCGCGAUGGGUAGCGGGUUUGAGAGGACGAUCCGCCACACUGGAACUGAGACACGGUCCAGACUCCUACGGGAGGCAGCAGUGGGGAAUAUUGCACAAUGGAGGAAACUCUGAUGCAGCAAUGCCGCGUGAGUGAAGAAGGCCCUUGGGUCGUAAAGCUCUUUUAUGGGGGAAGAUGAUGACGGUACCCCAAGAAUAAGCACCGGCUAACUACGUGCCAGCAGCCGCGGUAAUACGUAGGGUGCAAGCGUUGUUCGGAAUUACUGGGCGUAAAGGGCGCGCAGGCGGAGGUGCAAGUCGGAGGUGAAAGCCCGGGGCUCAACCCCGGAGGGUCUUUCGAAACUGCAUCUCUAGAGAGGGUCAGGGGCCGGCAGAAUUCCUGGUGUAGAGGUGAAAUUCGUAGAUAUCAGGAGGAAUACCGGUGGCGAAAGCGGCCGGCUGGGGCCACUCUGACGCUGAGGCGCGAAAGCGUGAGGAGCAAACAGGAUUAGAUACCCUGGUAGUCCACGCCGUAGACGAUGAGCACUGGACGUUCGGAGGGUUCGACCCUUCUGGGUGUUUCAGCUAACGCAUUAAGUGCUCCGCCUGGGGAGUACGGUCGCAAGACUAAAACUCAAAGGAAUUGACGGGGGCCCGCACAAGCGGUGGAACAUGU